CCAGAGCCGAUUUCAGCGACGUGGUGCUUGAGACCUUGGACUUCAAUGAAUUUGUGUUGAAUUUGAUCCAUUUCAAGUCUUGAUUUUUGGGCAGAGAGGAUUUAAAGUUGACCUUUUGGGCAGAGAGAGAGAGAGAGAGAGAGAGAGAGAGAGAGAGAGAGUUGGAGUUUCGGAUUCAGUUUCAGGUGGAGGAGCAAGUGAGUUCAGUUGAAGAAGAUGUUUU
This 223-nucleotide long non-coding RNA is filed under the name Eucalyptus grandis. RNAcentral's name for it is "long non-coding RNA (EGRA_LNC002227)". Lineage: Eukaryota; Viridiplantae; Streptophyta; Magnoliopsida; Myrtales; Myrtaceae. The record is from RNAcentral.